Molecule: ribosomal RNA, 492 nt
Filed under: uncultured bacterium
Lineage: Bacteria
Description: partial 16S ribosomal RNA
Rfam family: Bacterial small subunit ribosomal RNA
Source: RNAcentral
AGUGAACGCUGGCGGUAGGCCUAACACAUGCAAGUCGAACGGCAGCACAGUAAGAGCUUGCUCUUACGGGUGGCGAGUGGCGGACGGGUGAGGAAUACAUCGGAAUCUACUUUUUCGUGGGGUAUAACGUAGGGAAACUUACGCUAAUACCGCAUACGACCUACGGGUGAAAGCAGGGGAUCUUCGGACCUUGCGCGAUUGAAUGCGCCGAUGUCGGAUUAGCUAGUUGGCGGGGUAAAGGCCCACCAAGGCGACGAUCCGUAGCUGGUCUGAGAGGAUGAUCAGCCACACUGGAACUGAGACACGGUCCAGACUCCUACGGGAGGCAGCAGUGGGGAAUAUUGGACAAUGGGCGCAAGCCUGAUCCAGCCAUACCGCGUGGGUGAAGAAGGCCUUCGGGUUGUAAAGCCCUUUUGUUGGGAAAGAAAAGCAGCAGGUUAAUACCCCGCUGUUCUGACGGUACCCAAAGAAUAAGCACCGGCUAACUUCGUG